RNAcentral lists this ribosomal RNA (63 nucleotides) under Phytophthora capsici. RNAcentral's name for it is "partial 28S ribosomal RNA". Lineage: Eukaryota; Oomycota; Peronosporomycetes; Peronosporales; Peronosporaceae. The record is from RNAcentral.
UUGGACCUGAUAUCAGCAAGAUUACCCGCUGAACUAUCUAAGGGGGGGGGAGAGAAAAAAAAA